UCUGAGUGUUUCCUUUAAGGACUCUUUUGGCACCUCUAAAAAUGGUGCAAAAUAGGGGUGGGCAACCUGGUGCCAGCAGCCGCGGUUAU
RNAcentral lists this ribosomal RNA (89 nucleotides) under uncultured archaeon. RNAcentral's name for it is "partial 16S ribosomal RNA". The record is from RNAcentral.